GAAGCACGCCAGACCGCCGCUGGUGCAAUUUCCGAAAGGAAGCACUGGAGGAACGUCCGGACUGCACAGGACAGCGUAGGAGGUAAUACCUCUCCACCGUGAGGUGAGGAUCAGAGCAACAGAGACGAGUCAGCCCGGGGCAACCCGGGUCGGGUGAAACGGGCAAUCUCUACGCGCAGCAAUACCAAAUAGGCCAACACUGAGUGGCGCGGUACGCCGCGAUUCUUCGACCUGCGGUUCGCAGGGGUUGGCGGGUAGGUAGCACCGAGCCGGGUGGGCGACCCCCGGCCCAGAUUAAUGGCGGUCACACUGGUGCGUUGCAAAACGCCUCAGCGCACAAAAUCCGGCUUAUCGGCGAGCUUCACAC
This 367-nucleotide RNase P RNA is filed under the name Polaromonas sp. RNAcentral describes it as "RNase P RNA component class A". It matches the Rfam family "Bacterial RNase P class A". Rfam says of the family: Ribonuclease P (RNase P) is a ubiquitous endoribonuclease, found in archaea, bacteria and eukarya as well as chloroplasts and mitochondria. Its best characterised activity is the generation of mature 5'-ends of tRNAs by cleaving the 5'-leader elements of precursor-tRNAs. Lineage: Bacteria; Pseudomonadati; Pseudomonadota; Betaproteobacteria; Burkholderiales; Comamonadaceae. RNAcentral also lists the same sequence under 1 other name. The record is from RNAcentral.